This 1226-nucleotide ribosomal RNA is filed under the name Salmonella enterica. Its description in RNAcentral is "partial 23S ribosomal RNA". It matches the Rfam family "Bacterial large subunit ribosomal RNA", at positions 1734 to 2925 of the family's 2925-position model. Lineage: Bacteria; Pseudomonadati; Pseudomonadota; Gammaproteobacteria; Enterobacterales; Enterobacteriaceae. The record is from RNAcentral.
CUUCGGGAGAAGGCACGCUGACACGUAGGUGAAGUGAUUUACUCAUGGAGCUGAAGUCAGUCGAAGAUACCAGCUGGCUGCAACUGUUUAUUAAAAACACAGCACUGUGCAAACACGAAAGUGGACGUAUACGGUGUGACGCCUGCCCGGUGCCGGAAGGUUAAUUGAUGGGGUCAGCGCAAGCGAAGCUCCUGAUCGAAGCCCCGGUAAACGGCGGCCGUAACUAUAACGGUCCUAAGGUAGCGAAAUUCCUUGUCGGGUAAGUUCCGACCUGCACGAAUGGCGUAAUGAUGGCCAGGCUGUCUCCACCCGAGACUCAGUGAAAUUGAACUCGCUGUGAAGAUGCAGUGUACCCGCGGCAAGACGGAAAGACCCCGUGAACCUUUACUAUAGCUUGACACUGAACAUUGAGCCUUGAUGUGUAGGAUAGGUGGGAGGCUUUGAAGCGUGGACGCCAGUCUGCGUGGAGCCGACCUUGAAAUACCACCCUUUAAUGUUUGAUGUUCUAACGUGGACCCGUGAUCCGGGUUGCGGACAGUGUCUGGUGGGUAGUUUGACUGGGGCGGUCUCCUCCUAAAGAGUAACGGAGGAGCACGAAGGUUGGCUAAUCCUGGUCGGACAUCAGGAGGUUAGUGCAAUGGCAUAAGCCAGCUUGACUGCGAGCGUGACGGCGCGAGCAGGUGCGAAAGCAGGUCAUAGUGAUCCGGUGGUUCUGAAUGGAAGGGCCAUCGCUCAACGGAUAAAAGGUACUCCGGGGAUAACAGGCUGAUACCGCCCAAGAGUUCAUAUCGACGGCGGUGUUUGGCACCUCGAUGUCGGCUCAUCACAUCCUGGGGCUGAAGUAGGUCCCAAGGGUAUGGCUGUUCGCCAUUUAAAGUGGUACGCGAGCUGGGUUUAGAACGUCGUGAGACAGUUCGGUCCCUAUCUGCCGUGGGCGCUGGAGAACUGAGGGGGGCUGCUCCUAGUACGAGAGGACCGGAGUGGACGCAUCACUGGUGUUCGGGUUGUCAUGCCAAUGGCACUGCCCGGUAGCUAAAUGCGGAAGAGAUAAGUGCUGAAAGCAUCUAAGCACGAAACUUGCCCCGAGAUGAGUUCUCCCUGAGACUUAAAGUCUCCUGAAGGAACGUUGAAGACGACGACGUUGAUAGGCCGGGUGUGUAAGCGCAGCGAUGCGUUGAGCUAACCGGUACUAAUGAACCGUGAGGCUUAACCUUACAACGCCGAAG